This 598-nucleotide ribosomal RNA is filed under the name Salmonella enterica. Its description in RNAcentral is "partial 23S ribosomal RNA". It matches the Rfam family "Bacterial large subunit ribosomal RNA", at positions 711 to 1306 of the family's 2925-position model. The record is from RNAcentral. Lineage: Bacteria; Pseudomonadati; Pseudomonadota; Gammaproteobacteria; Enterobacterales; Enterobacteriaceae. RNAcentral also lists the same sequence under 1 other name.
AGACCCGAAACCCGGUGAUCUAGCCAUGGGCAGGUUGAAGGUUGGGUAACACUAACUGGAGGACCGAACCGACUAAUGUUGAAAAAUUAGCGGAUGACCUGUGGCUGGGGGUGAAAGGCCAAUCAAACCGGGAGAUAGCUGGUUCUCCCCGAAAGCUAUUUAGGUAGCGCCUCGUGAAUUCAUCUCCGGGGGUAGAGCACUGUUUCGGCUAGGGGGCCAUCCCGGCUUACCAACCCGAUGCAAACUGCGAAUACCGGAGAAUGUUAUCACGGGAGACACACGGCGGGUGCUAACGUCCGUCGUGAAGAGGGAAACAACCCAGACCGCCAGCUAAGGUCCCAAAGUCAUGGUUAAGUGGGAAACGAUGUGGGAAGGCCCAGACAGCCAGGAUGUUGGCUUAGAAGCAGCCAUCAUUUAAAGAAAGCGUAAUAGCUCACUGGUCGAGUCGGCCUGCGCGGAAGAUGUAACGGGGCUAAACCAUGCACCGAAGCUGCGGCAGCGACACUGUGUGUUGUUGGGUAGGGGAGCGUUCUGUAAGCCUGUGAAGGUGUGUCGUGAGGCAUGCUGGAGGUAUCAGAAGUGCGAAUGCUGACAUAAG